This 499-nucleotide ribosomal RNA is filed under the name uncultured bacterium. RNAcentral's name for it is "partial 16S ribosomal RNA". It matches the Rfam family "Bacterial small subunit ribosomal RNA", at positions 28 to 507 of the family's 1533-position model. The record is from RNAcentral.
GACGAACGCUGGCGGCGUGCCUAAUACAUGCAAGUCGAGCGGACUGACUGGGAGCUUGCUCUUGUUCGGUCAGCGGCGGACGGGUGAGUAACACGUGGGCAACCUGCCCGCAAGACCGGGAUAACUCCGGGAAACCGGAGCUAAUACCGGAUAACACCGAAGACCGCAUGGUCUUUGGUUGAAAGGCGGCGCAAGCUGCCACUUGCGGAUGGGCCCGCGGCGCAUUAGCUAGUUGGUGAGGUAACGGCUCACCAAGGCGACGAUGCGUAGCCGGCCUGAGGGGGUGAACGGCCACACUGGGACUGAGACACGGCCCAGACUCCUACGGGAGGCAGCAGUAGGGAAUCUUCCGCAAUGGGCGAAAGCCUGACGGAGCGACGCCGCGUGAGCGAAGAAGGCCUUCGGGUCGGAAAGCUCUGUUGUGAGGGACGAAGGAGCGCCGUUUGAAGAAGGCGGCGCGGUGACGGUACCUCACGAGGAAGCCCCGGCUAACUACGUG